RNAcentral lists this ribosomal RNA (466 nucleotides) under uncultured Glomus. RNAcentral's name for it is "SSU rRNA". It matches the Rfam family "Eukaryotic small subunit ribosomal RNA", at positions 569 to 1040 of the family's 1831-position model. Lineage: Eukaryota; Fungi; Glomeromycota; Glomeromycetes; Glomerales; Glomeraceae. The record is from RNAcentral.
AGCAGCCGCGGUAAUUCCAGCUCCAAUAGCGUAUAUUAAAGUUGUUGCAGUUAAAAAGCUCGUAGUUGAAUUUCGGGAUUAGUACGUUGGUCGUGCCUUCGGUACGUACUGGUGUUACUGAUUCCUACCUUCUGACGAACCAUCAUGUCAUUAAUUUGGUGUGGCGGGGAAUCAGGACUGUUACUUUGAAAGAAUUAGAGUGUUUAAAGCAGGCUCGCGCUUGAAUACAUUAGCAUGGAAUAAUGAAAUAGGACGUUGACCCUAUUUUGUUGGUUUCUAGGAUUGACGUAAUGAUUAAUAGGGAUAGUUGGGGGCAUUAGUAUUCAAUUGUCAGAGGUGAAAUUCUUGGAUUUAUUGAAGACUAACUACUGCGAAAGCAUUUGCCAAGGAUGUUUUCAUUAAUCAAGAACGAAAGUUAGGGGAUCGAAGACGAUCAGAUACCGUCGUAGUCUUAACCAUAAACUAU